RNAcentral lists this unclassified non-coding RNA (433 nucleotides) under soil metagenome. Its description in RNAcentral is "partial contains 5.8S ribosomal RNA, internal transcribed spacer 2, and large subunit ribosomal RNA". The stretch from base 1 to 120 matches the Rfam family "5.8S ribosomal RNA", at positions 35 to 154 of the family's 154-position model. The record is from RNAcentral.
GAUGAAGAACGUAGCGAAAUGCGAUACGUAAUGUGAAUUGCAGAAUUCAGCGAAUCAUCGAAUCUUUGAACGCAUAUUGCGCUCUCUGGUAUUCCGGAGAGCAUGCUUGUUUGAGUAUCAGUAAACACCUCAACUUCCAUAUCUUUUUUGAAAUGGGAGUUGGACUUGAGUGAUCCCAACGCUUUUCCUCACCGAAAAGUGGCGGGUUACUUGAAAUGCAGGUGCAGCUGGACUUUUCUCUGAGCUAUAAGCAUAUCUAUUUAGUCUGCCUAAAAAACAGUUUAUUACCUUUGCUGCAGCUAACAUAAAGGAGAUUAGUUCUUGUGCUGACUGAUGCAGGAUUCACAAAGACAGGCUUCGGCCGACUUUGUAAACUCGAUCUCAAAUCAAGUAAGACUACCCGCUGAACUUAAGCAUAUCAAUAAGCGGAGGA